This 468-nucleotide ribosomal RNA is filed under the name uncultured bacterium. RNAcentral's name for it is "partial 16S ribosomal RNA". It matches the Rfam family "Bacterial small subunit ribosomal RNA", at positions 28 to 507 of the family's 1533-position model. The record is from RNAcentral.
GACGAACGCUGGCGGCGUGCUUAACACAUGCAAGUCGAACGGAAAGGCCCUGCUUUUGUGGGGUGCUCGAGUGGCGAACGGGUGAGUAACACGUGAGUAACCUGCCCUUGACUUUGGGAUAACUUCAGGAAACUGGGGCUAAUACCGGAUAGGAGCUCCUGCUGCAUGGUGGGGGUUGGAAAGUUUCGGCGGUUGGGGAUGGACUCGCGGCUUAUCAGCUUGUUGGUGGGGUAGUGGCUUACCAAGGCUUUGACGGGUAGCCGGCCUGAGAGGGUGACCGGCCACAUUGGGAGUGAGAUACGGCCCAGACUCCUACGGGAGGCAGCGGUGGGGAAUAUUGCACACUGGGCGGAAGCCUGAUGCAGCACCGCCGGGUGCGGGAUGACGGCCUUCGGGUUGUAAACCGCUUUCGCCUGUGCCGAAGCGUGAGUGACGGUAAUGGGUAAAGAAGCACCGGCUAACUACGUG